UUUAUUGGAGAGUUUGAUCCUGGCUCAGGGUGAACGCUGGCGGCGUGCCUAAGACAUGCAAGUCGAGCGGGGCAGGUUUAUGCCUGUCCAGCGGCGGACGGGUGAGUAACGCGUGGGUGACCUACCCGGAAGAGGCGGACAACCUGGGGAAACCCAGGCUAAUCCGCCAUGUGGUCCUGUCCUGUGGGGUAGGACUAAAGGGUGGAUAGCCCGCUUCCGGAUGGGCCCGCGUCCCAUCAGCUAGUUGGUGGGGUAAAGGCCCACCAAGGCGACGACGGGUAGCCGGUCUGAGAGGAUGGCCGGCCACAGGGGCACUGAGACACGGGCCCCACUCCU
Molecule: ribosomal RNA, 336 nt
Filed under: Thermus scotoductus
Lineage: Bacteria; Thermotogati; Deinococcota; Deinococci; Thermales; Thermaceae
Description: bacterial SSU rRNA
Rfam family: Bacterial small subunit ribosomal RNA
Source: RNAcentral